This 460-nucleotide ribosomal RNA is filed under the name uncultured bacterium. Its description in RNAcentral is "partial 16S ribosomal RNA". It matches the Rfam family "Bacterial small subunit ribosomal RNA", at positions 338 to 795 of the family's 1533-position model. The record is from RNAcentral.
CCUACGGGUGGCAGCAGUGAGGAAUAUUGGUCAAUGGACGAGAGUCUGAACCAGCCAAGUAGCGUGAAGGAUGACUGCCCUAUGGGUUGUAAACUUCUUUUAUAAGGGAAUAAAACGAGGCACGUGUGCCUUUUUGCAUGUACUUUAUGAAUAAGGAUCGGCUAACUCCGUUCCAGCAGCCGCGGUAAUACGGAGGAUCCGAGCGUUAUCCGGAUUUAUUGGGUUUAAAGGGAGCGUAGAUGGGUUGUUAAGUCAGUUGUGAAAGUUUGCGGCUCAACCGUAAAAGUGCAAUUGAUACUGGCAGUCGUGAGUACAGUUGAGGUAGGCGGAAUUCGUGGUGUAGCGGUGAAAUGCUUAGAUAUCACGAAGAAACCCGAUUGCGAAGGCAGCUUACUAAACUGUGACUGACAUUGAUGCUCGAAAGUGUGGGUAUCAAACAGGAUUAGAUACCCGGGUAGUC